GUCAAUAACCCAUGAUUAAAAUCACGGGCUUGAAAAAGCAAGUGAAGAAAUCAGCUGCGCAAGCAGAUUGUUGACUACCCUAAGUCUUGAGACAGAGACUACGUUGGUUUAAUCAUCACACCUGCGGACGUUUGUCCUAAUCUGCAGCUCUGU
Molecule: small RNA, 153 nt
Filed under: bovine gut metagenome
Description: HNH endonuclease-associated RNA and ORF (HEARO) RNA
Rfam family: HNH endonuclease-associated RNA and ORF (HEARO) RNA
Source: RNAcentral